GACGAGGGGUCCAAGCGUUGUUCGGAAUCAUUGGGCGUAAAGCGGGUGUAGGCGGCCUUAUAAGUCAGAAGUGAAAGCCCCGAGCUUAACUCGGGAAGUGCUUUUGAUACUGCAAGGCUUGAAUGUGGGAGAGGAUAGUGGAAUUCCUGGUGUAGUGGUGAAAUGCGUAGAUAUCUGGAGGAAUACCGGUGGCGAAGGCGGCAUCCUGGACCGGCAUUGACGCUGAGGAGCGAAAGCCAGGGGAGCAAAGCGGG
RNAcentral lists this ribosomal RNA (254 nucleotides) under uncultured bacterium. RNAcentral describes it as "partial 16S ribosomal RNA". It matches the Rfam family "Bacterial small subunit ribosomal RNA", at positions 524 to 777 of the family's 1533-position model. The record is from RNAcentral.